GAUGAACGCUGGCGGCAGGCCUAACACAUGCAAGUCGGACGGUAGCACAGAGGAGCUUGCUCCUUGGGUGACGAGUGGCGGACGGGUGAGUAAUGUCUGGGGAUCUGCCCGAUAGAGGGGGAUAACCACUGGAAACGGUGGCUAAUACCGCAUAACGUCGCAAGACCAAAGAGGGGGACCUUCGGGCCUCUCACUAUCGGAUGAACCCAGAUGGGAUUAGCUAGUAGGCGGGGUAAUGGCCCACCUAGGCGACGAUCCCUAGCUGGUCUGGGAGGAUGCGCAGCCACACUGGAACUGAGACACGGUCCAGACUCCUACGGGAGGCAGCAGUGGGGAAUAUUGCACAAUGGGCGCAAGCCUGAUGCAGCCAUGCCGCGUGUAUGAAGAAGGCCUUCGGGUUGUAAAGUACUUUCAGCGGGGAGGAAGGCGGUGAGGUUAAUAACCUCGCCGGUUGACGUUACCCGCAGAAGAAGCACCGGCUAACUCCGUGCCAGCCGCCGCUGUAC
RNAcentral lists this ribosomal RNA (506 nucleotides) under uncultured bacterium. RNAcentral's name for it is "partial 16S ribosomal RNA". It matches the Rfam family "Bacterial small subunit ribosomal RNA", at positions 28 to 523 of the family's 1533-position model. The record is from RNAcentral.